GACGAACGCUGGCGGCAUGCUUAACACAUGCCAGUCGAACGCUGAACCCGCUUCGGUGGGGGAUGAGUGGCGAACGGGUGAGUAACACGUGGGCAACCUGCCCCCGGCUCUGGGAUAACUCCAAGAAAUUGGGGCUAAUACCGGAUGUGACCGCUGGCCGCAUGGUCUGGUGGUGGAAAGGGUUUCCGGCUGGGGAUGGGCCCGCGGCCUAUCAGCUUGUUGGUGGGGUAGUGGCCUACCAAGGCGACGACGGGUAGCCGGCCUGAGAGGGUGACCGGCCACACUGGGACUGAGACACGGCCCAGACUGCUACGGGAGGCAGCAGGGGGGAAUAUUGCGCAAUGGGCGGAAGCCUGACGCAGCGACGCCGCGUGGGGGAUGACGGCCUUCGGGUUGUAAACCUCUUUCAGCAGGGACGAAGCGCAAGUGACGGUACCUGCAGAAGAAGCACCGGCCAACUACGUG
RNAcentral lists this ribosomal RNA (465 nucleotides) under uncultured bacterium. RNAcentral describes it as "partial 16S ribosomal RNA". It matches the Rfam family "Bacterial small subunit ribosomal RNA", at positions 28 to 507 of the family's 1533-position model. The record is from RNAcentral.